CCUACGGGUGGCAGCAGUGGGGAAUAUUGCACAAUGGGGGAAACCCUGAUGCAGCAACGCCGCGUGAGUGAAGAAGUAUCUCGGUAUGUAAAGCUCUAUCAGCAGGGAAGAGAAUGACGGUACCUGACUAAGAAUCUCUGGCUAACUACGUGCCAGCAGCCGCGGUAAUACGUAGGGGGCGAGCGUUAUCCGGAUUUACUGGGUGUAAUGGGCGUGCAGCCGGGAAGACAGGUCAGUUGUGAAAUCCUGCGGCUCAACCGCGGAACUGCAUUUGAAACUGUUUGUCUUGAGUACCGGAGAGGUCAUCGGAAUUCCUUGUGUAGCGGUGAAAUGCGUAGAUAUAAGGAAGAACACCAGUGGCGAAGGCAGAUGACUGGACGGCAACUGACGGUGAGGCGCGAAAGCGUGGGGAGCAAACAGGAUUAGAUACCCUUGUAGUC
Molecule: ribosomal RNA, 440 nt
Filed under: uncultured bacterium
Lineage: Bacteria
Description: partial 16S ribosomal RNA
Rfam family: Bacterial small subunit ribosomal RNA
Source: RNAcentral